GCGGCUCUGGUAGAAAUGAGAAGGCUGAAAACCGCUAGGGAGUAUGGGUUGGUUGAUUUACCGAUGGCGGUGAUCCCGAUGAGCUUGUGGUGGUUGGUUCCUCAAUAUGUAUUGUUCGGGGUUUCGGACGUAUUCACGAUAGUUGGUCUGCAAGAGUUCUUCUACGAUCAGAUGCCUGAGGCUUUGAGGAGCGUUGGGCUUGCACUCUUCAUCAGCAUUAUUGGCAUUGGGAGCUUCAUUAGUAGUUUGCUUGUUGCGAUAAUAGAUAAAGCAACUGGC
RNAcentral lists this unclassified non-coding RNA (279 nucleotides) under Hevea brasiliensis (rubber tree). Lineage: Eukaryota; Viridiplantae; Streptophyta; Magnoliopsida; Malpighiales; Euphorbiaceae. The record is from RNAcentral.